This is a non-coding RNA of Sus scrofa (pig), 3503 nucleotides long. NCBI's taxonomy places the organism in Eukaryota, Metazoa, Chordata, Mammalia, Artiodactyla, Suidae. The record is from RefSeq and is a predicted model, not a curated record.
GAGGCGGUGACGCGGGAGGAGGGCUGGCGAAGCGGGGGCGGCCCCCGGAGAGGAAGAGGAGGCGGCGGUGGCCGCUGUGUGCUCGCUGGCGGUCCUGCGGGCAGGAGCCUCGGAAGGACCCUGGCUGAACUCUGCAGAACUGGCCGGGCGGGCCCGGAGCUCCUCGGUGCCCAGAGCGGGCCCGGCAUGACCGUGAUGCUAGUUUGGCCAGAGCCCCUCCGCCUCGGGGACGCAUCAACUUGGUGAAGGGGACAGGGCUCCGGACUAGACAGCAACCGAGCUGGCCGCUCCCGGCUGCAGUCUCCCUUUCGGAGUCUCUAUCCAGGGCUCAGAGGCGAGGAGACUCUCGGGCAGGUAGAGUGAAUCCGAAGCCAGUGGAUGAACAGACAGAAGCUAAAAGAUCCCCAAAAAGGAUGCGUGAGAGGGCCACACAGAACUGGAACAUGGGCAGCUGGCUGCUGGCUCUUUGCCUGGCCUGGCUGUGGACCCUCCUGGCCUCGGCUUCCUUGCAGCUUCCAACUCCCACAGUCCUUGUGAAGCAGGGCACCUGUGAGGUGAUUGCCGCUCACCGCUGCUGUAACCGGAACCGCAUCGAGGAGCGCUCCCAGACUGUCAAAUGCUCUUGCUUUUCUGGCCAGGUGGCCGGCACCACCCGGGCAAAGCCCUCCUGCGUGGAUGCCUCCAUCGUCCUGCAGAAGUGGUGGUGCCAGAUGGAGCCCUGCCUGCCUGGGGAGGAGUGUAAAGUGCUCCCGGACCUGUCAGGAUGGAGCUGCAGCAGUGGACACAAAGUCAAAACCACCAAGGUUACAAGAUAGCUCUUGGGGUCACAACCUGACAGCUUGCUUGAGCCACGAACUGGAAAAUGGCAGCCGGUUAUCAGCGAGCACAUAUGGAGAUUCAGUUCCCUGGGCCCACGCCCUGCGCCAGGUGCAGCAGCACUCUUUCCAAGGCCAUUGCUAUUAAUCUGCUCAACAGAGAGGGGACCUCAUAUCUCCAGGCUGAUCUCCAGCCACAUACCUGUGAGGCUGGGCUCUCCUGGACACAGAAGAAGGUCAAGAUACAAUUCCUGCCCUUAAGGGGAAGUAUAUAGACUCCUUCCCCACUUGUGACUGCCCAGAGCUGCUCUCAAGUGUGAAAACCACAGUUUCUCCGUUCAUGUGAAGACUAUAGCUGAGCCCCAUGACAGCUGGCCUGAUUCAGAGACAUGGCCUCUCAGAGUUGUGAGAAAACCUGGCCGUCAUCUAACCAGCGCUCUGAAGCCCAGAGACCACAGCCAGCUGGAGAUGGAAACAGGACCCUCCUGCAGAAUGUGGCAUGGCUUGCCUAUGGUAUCCCUCUUCUCUCUGUGACCAUUCACGUUCCACCGCUAGUCACACUUUAUGCCACAACCACAGUGUCGUGAUGGCCUUAGCUUUAUAAGUAUUGAAAUCGGAUAGAGUUGGUUUCCCAAUUUAGUUUAUUUUUAAUGUUGUUUGGCUAUCCCAGGUUCUUUGCAUUCCCAUCUGAAUUUUGUAAUUUAGGUUGUCAGUUCCUACCAAUAGCCCUGCUGGGAUUUUGAUUGGGCCUGUGUGUGAUUUGUAAAUCAAUCCGGGGACAAGUAGAUGGAAUAGAAGCCUGAUCAGAGUUGAUAUUACAGCAUUUAUCCCAGGGUUUUGAGGUUGCCUGGUUACUUGCUAUUCUCUCCCAAAAGGUUGUGAACACAUCGAGGCCAGGGGCUGGGCUUUAUUUACCAUUUGCUCUUUGCUGUUAUAGCUCCAGCUCCAAACACUGAGCCUGGCCUUGAACAGUUGUUCAAUACAUAUCUGUUACAGGAACAAAUAUUUAUUUUAUCAUUUAUUUGCUUAUUCAAUCAAAAAUGGACUUCUGCUUGCUUUCAUUCUACUUUCUGUCUUCCUUACAGGCUGAAUCUAAUCCUGUAAAUGCUUGUUGAAUCACUACCAUGUUUUGAGAAAUAUGCUCAAGGGUCUGCAGGUGACCAGUGGGUUUAGCACCACGGGAAACCUUCCUCUAACAGCCCGUGUUGAUAGAUACCUUUCCAUUUCUUCCAUUCUAGGACUCGCAGCUGUGGAAGGCCAGGUGUUUAAAAUAUGUUAGAUGUGCCUCUCCUUUCUCCACUAGUUUGUUGUUUUGUUUUUUAGCUUGCCUGGGGCAUGUGGAAGUUCCUGGACCAGGGAUCGAACCCACACCGCAGCAGUGACCCAAGCUGUUGGCUUGGCAACACUGGAUCCUUAACUCAUUAUGCCACAAAAGAGCUCCUAUGCUAGUUUUAAUCUUCUUUUUAUUAGGAAAUGAAUCAAAUAAUCAUAUCUAUUCCUUCACCCCUGAACAUGGCGUUCCCCAAAUCUGGAGCUGUAGGAAACAUUUACUUAGAUUUAACUGUGGCUCCUGUGGCUGGUGGGGCGACCUCCUGAGAGGAGGUGAAGGUCCCUGCUCCGUGGAUGCUGUAGGAGCUGCACCUGGACUGGACGAGGGGCUGGAGGAAGUGGCUCCGCUCUGCAUUUCUCUUUGGCUGUUUUCUCCGUCAUUUGACUGAAACAACUUUUGAUGACUAAUUGAGUGAAUGGUCAAAGCUUAUUUUUUCAAUCAAAAUUCAAUUCCAGCAAAAAAUAGAGGCGUGAGAGGGAGUAAACAUUCAUGAAGCUUAUUUAAGCACCAGGCUUCCUUUCUGCAGAAAAUCAAAUUGCCUGGCAGAGGAAAACAGCUUCUUCCCAUCAAGAUCAUCAGAUUGAGUGUUUUUUACGCUGACUAAUCUGCUUUCCGGCUCAGUUUCCGGCUGGAAGGCAGUUUGGCAAAGCGGAAGGACCGGACGGAUUUGGGAUUAGAAUCUGGGCUGCUGCUUACCAGCUCUGUGACUUCAGAGUUCUCCAGACAUGCUUGGGAGGAAACUUCAGAGGGAAUUCCUUGAGGGUUUCCUGGGAACUGUGGGGCACCAUACCCCUUCCCUUGCGGCAGCAACAGCCCUCAGAUCCUGCCUCAGUGUUCGAGACAGCACUUCUCUACCUUCGUCAGUCCCUGGUGGCUUGUUAAAAAGACUUCAAAGGAGAAACUUCAGACUAGAAACCUCACUUGCCAUUCACAUUUCUUUAAACAUUGAAGAUACAACUGUAAAGAACAUUUCUGUGAAUGCUAAUUAGCCUCCAGAGAGGGAGAAAGAAGAGGAUGGAAGAGAGAGGCAGACACAGAAAAAUGCUGCAGGGAUGGCAGGGGAGCACGGAGUAACUCCUUGGAUUCUGUAAAAUAACCUUUAACGUAUGCCUCAUGAAGGUGAAAAGGACUAACUAUCGACAACAAAAGGAUCUGAUCCCAGAGAUGAGUAAGACUAGAGACAGCGCUGGAGUGAAAUUUCCUUUUUCGAAGAGGCCAACUAAGUGGGUCAGGCUGUCCCCUUCACAAAGACAGUGGAGACCACCCAGAAUGGGGUGCCAUAGGUGCUGGGAGUGUGGGGUGUGAGCUGAGGGUGGUUGUUCAGGCUCUCAUCCCCCCCUUUUUUUUUUUUUUUGUCU